Long non-coding RNA from Leopardus geoffroyi (Geoffroy's cat), 7854 nucleotides. RefSeq lists it as uncharacterized. The transcript has 3 exons. NCBI's taxonomy places the organism in Eukaryota, Metazoa, Chordata, Mammalia, Carnivora, Felidae. The record is from RefSeq and is a predicted model, not a curated record.
ACUCACAAACCGUGAGAUCAUGACCUGAGCAGAAUAUCAAGAGUCGGACGCUUAACCAACUGAGCCACCCAGGCGGCCCAAAAUAAAUGUAAAUAACUUCUAGAAAGUCGUGCGUAGGCCAGUAGUGUGAAUAUGUUAUGAACCACAGUUUGGAUAAUUAAUCCAAAUUAGCGCAAAUGAAGGACAAGUAAAGAACUUUGCUUUUUUCAUUCAUUUCAAAACUCCAAGUCUCAUUUUAUGUUUGUUCCACUGAUUUUUUUUAUUUAGUUAGUCCCACUGAUGAUUUAAACAUUUCCCUCUUGAUAAAGGUCUAGGCUGAUACUCAUUUCGAGAGUCGAUAUUCUGGUUGUUGAGCAGGAUGGUGGGUUCAUGGUUGGCCUCUGUAACACCUAACAAUGGUUCAGUGUAAUCUCUAAAAAUUAAAUGCUGAAGGAUUGCACCUGCACCAAUGAUGUGAAUGGAAUGCCUCUGAAUAAAAAUUAUGAUCAAUCAUUUUUUGAACCACUGAGGUCCACCACUCACAAAGCGAACUAGUGUAGGACUUUUGGGGAGUGGUCUCAGGAAAGGUCAAGAAUCUAGUUGAGAAAGGUUCAUGGAUUUGACUUUAUGUUAUUAGUGAAUAAAUGAAUGUAUCAAUAAGCAAAUAUACUCAAAGGUAAAGAAAAUUAGGUCAAAACAUGGACCAAUUUAGAGGAUAUGUUAUAAAAUGGGAAAUAUUCUGUAUUCAGUUCUGAAAUACUUUGGUCAAGUAAGAAAAAAAAAACAUAGAGUAAGGUUGUUACCACUUUGUGUAAGAAGCCGCUAGGUAGAGGGAGUUUAUGAGUCGAUGUUCUGCUGUCUAUUUGCAGUGGGUUUCUAUGUGUUUGUUUCGUGAAGGAAAAAAAAAGUUGAAAUUAAAGAAAUGGCUAACUGAAUGAGUGAGUGCCAAGAAUGAACCAAUGAUGACUAUAUUUUAUUCUUUAUUACAUCUGCUUUGUGCCGAGAAUGGCCUCACAUUGGCUGCUUUUGUCAUUACACUUAAUGGUGAGGAUCCUGACUGUUACUGAUGUGGCCAAAGAAAGCAUAGAUUAGGAAAGUUCCCAAAUGACACCCACGUAAUACGCAGAUUCCCCUGUCCAAGAAGAAUGGCGAGUUCGACGAAGUUCUAGAACAAUGCCAGUUUGGAUGGGAUGGGUCGAGACUAUGCACCUUUAAGACAGCAUAACAUGCCGUUCUGCCAGGGACAGAUGAUGAGAAAAGUAAGUUGGCAACAUCUUUGCCCUCUGUGGGUAUUUGCCCAAGACCGCCCCCCCUCCACUGCCCCCUCCCUGUAUUGCAUCAUUCCUCCCUCCUGCAAUUAUGUGUUUUAAUUUUAUACCCACUCUAUGGCUGACACUGACCACUCCCCCUCCUCUCCUGUCUUGCCUGUUCCUGACCCUGGAUUCCAUCUCUCACUCCUGGUUUCAUGUCCUUCCUUUGGACUUGGUGAUGUAACGGUCAUUUGGCUUGGAAUAUAGCCUUCUCCUUCCUGAAGACUGGAUUUCAGCUCAAAUCAUUGGCCUUUCUACUUCGGACCAAAUCAGGUAGACCCCCGUCUCCUUCUUAAUAGUGGACAUCUGGGACCCUAAUUUUGAGUCUUCUGGGUUGGCUGUCUUCCAUCUGGGCAACCUCCAGCCCCUCCGGGCCCCCUGAAUGCUGAGGGCGGGCGGCAGGAUGAGCAUCAGUGGCCUUCGUCUAGAAUCUAAUGUGUGACUGGAAAGUGUAUGGACGCAGGACGUGGGACUUAGGUUCUCACGUUCCCCAGGAUUGCUGGGUAAAUGAGGUGCUUGGACCUCAUAGCGUUCAACAGCUUCUAGUUGAUUCUAAUCUGUGCUUUCCAUGGUUGCUCAGCUUUGUGCCAUGCCCAACACACCUGUCACCUGCCUUGCACUCACAUAGCCCCUUGUCUUCCUUCCUGGCUCCUCAGCUCCCGUGGUCCAGAUUCGUCCUGUCGUGCUCACGUAUCCAUCCUCCACACCCCCGACAGAGCCCUUGUUAUGGUGUUAGUUAUGACCAACUGGUUUCUCCCAAAGGGAAUGAACUCCUUGGCGUCAGGUAACCCACCAGAAGGUCUAGGCUUCGGUGAAUGUUUGGUGAACUACUCGUCCAUUCUUUCAUUUAUUCAGAAAAAGAUUGGGCUCUUUCUAGGCACCAGAGGUUGGGUAUAAGCAGCAAGAGGCAGGCCAUAUCCUAUCUCUGCCCUCAUGGAACUUCAAGUCUUGAGUGGGAGAUAGAUUUCGAACAAAUUUUCACUGUGGAAUUACUUAAUCAUCCUCGUGACGAGCUCUAUGAAGCCCGGGUGCCGUGGGCUUUGCUGACCUGCCACCUGGGCUGGUCUGGCCCUUAUGACAAGCCCCCUCUGCUUUGGGGGGGACACUCUGGAAGGACAAGGCCAUGGCCACGGUCUGAGCUGGCAGAUGGCUGCGGGUCCCUGCGGGCAGGUCCUCGGACAUCGUUGGAGGAAAGAGGGGUGGGUGGACUUUGGGGUUUGUGCAGCGGCCCUUUGGUUAUUACCUGGGCAGAGGCGACCAGCCAAACAUUGCAGUCACUCGGGCCGCGAGCUUGUUAAGGAAGGCUCUGCUGAGGCUCAGGGUUUGAGCCACCCCGUCAACUUCCAGGUGGUUCUUCUCGAUGUACUGCCAGAUGACAAACUGAGGGUACACUGGAACAUGGGUUGACCUUGUCUCCCUCCACCACAUUCCAUUCUGAGUGUCUUCAAACGGCUGCCCGAGAAACCACCGUGGGGGUAGCAUCACUGUGAUGUUCUGCAGCGAACCUUGCAGUCCACACGCCUUGUUCCGGUCGCCUUCACCGAUGCCACCCUCCCUCGGCCUCCAGCUUUGGUUCUGCCCCUUCCUCUGUCUCCAGAGAACCCAGGAGGCUACCUCUCUCGUGCCCGGCACCACAAAAGUCCAGACUUCCCUCAUGUUGGCCUGGGUCAGCCUCUGGAUUGGACUUUUCGCCCUUCCUUCAGUUUGUUCUCCGUGCUGCAGUCAACACAAUCUUUCUAGAUUUUUCUAGAAUGCAUGAGAAAGAGUCCCAUGCUCUCUAAAGCCCUUUUGUGAGUUUCGGAAGCCCCAGGGGGAAGCGCAAGCUCCUUGCUUCUCACUCGCGGUCUUUGUGACUUGGCCUCUUGCCCUGGCUCCCACCUUGGCCGGGCCCUAUGUGUCACCCGGCAGACCCUCCCAGACUCUGUGUCUGCGUCUCUGUGCCUUUACACAUGCUCCUGUUCUGACCCUGUCCUCACUGCUCAAUAGCUGGGCAGCCUGCCUCCCCCUGGUGGGUUGAGGCACCCCACAUUUGGAACUGUUGCAUGACCAUGAACUUGACCUCCAUUCAGAAACGUCUCCUGUGCUUGAUUUAGGUGUCUGGCUUUCCAGCCCGGUUGUGCUCGGUCUGGGGUGUCUCGGACCACCCCCCACCCCCAUAGAACCUGUGCAGAGUGGUGGGUCCAUCCAUCAGAAAGCUGGUUGAAUGAGACACUGAAUGAACACACAGAAGAAUGACUGGGAGGUCAUUCUGGGGGGCAGAUCCUGUCCCCGGAAGAGAACCGGGGUCCUUGGCACUGGGAAGUAACACCUCCUCAUGACUGAGGCCUGUACCCCUCCUCCAGCCAAUUCCAUUUUCCUUUUCGCCUGCGACUCAUUAGGAGAUAUGUAACCUUAAUCCUUGAAAUUGCCUGGGACGGAGCGUGUUUUCACUCAAGGACAUGAACAUGGGGAUUUUAUUCCUUCUUAAAUAAAUCUCACUCCCCCAGGAAGUUUGGACAGGAUGUGGGCAAUCAGACCAGGGCUUGAAACUGAACAUUUUGCAAAAGACCCGUUUCAAAAUUUGAAACCCUGUGGCCACUGGCCAGAGCUGAGUCUGGUUGGUGGGGGUCGCUGGGGCCUCCUCGCAAAGAAGGGAAGCAGAGAUUGAAAACAAACCUUCAGCUGUCACUGAGCAGGCUGAUGGUUUUGCAAGGCAGAAUUGUGCGGUUCGGUUUUGCUUGUCUGUGAAACUGGAGUGAGCUCGAUCACCCCCAUCAGCCUUCCUCCAAGCUCUGUGCGGAGGCCUCAGACCCUCCCGGAGCCAGCGUGGAGUCUGACUUCAUCCCGACAUGGAUAGGACAAGCGUGUAGCACUAGCUGGGGCUGCAUGCUUAGGGGCGGGCCCAGCUUAGGGCUCGCCCUUCCCCUGGGGGGCGCCCCCGGAGCCUGGGGAGAAAGAGUAAUAACAUUGCAUUAUGCCUGUCGUCGCCAGGCACGGCCGAAUGUUUCCCUGUUUCAUCCAGAGACGGGUGACACUGAUUCCUCAUUGUGGCGACAAGGAAACUGAGGCCUGGGGAGGGCAGCCGUGCGUGACUCCAUGUUUCAGACUCCUCCCAGGCUUCUCCUGAGUGGGCUCCCGUCUCCCGGAGUGGUGGCUGAGGCUCGUGCCCCAGGGUCACAGGUGUGGCAGGAUGGAUCUUGGGGGGCGGAGGAACACAUAGCCCCAGAGAGCAGUCCGCUCUCUGUCCCGCCGUCCCCGCUGAGCUGAGAGCGAACCCAGGCCCUGGACUGGUCCCUUGGACAGGGAGAUUCGUGGUCUCUCAUUCUCUUUUGACUUUUUAUCUUUUUUUUUUUGUUGCCAGGAAAGAGCAGUGUGUGUCUCGAAGUCACCAGAACCUUCCAGGCUUUGGGCUCCUCAUCUGUGAGAGGGAAGUGAGUUUCAUUCGUUUAUCCUGCAGAAAUCUUGCUGCGGGCUGUGCCCGGCGGGUGUGCCGCACGUGGCCUGGCAGGCAGACCCAGCAGGGAGCCACAGGAGCUGCCACUGGAGCUGGGCUUCAGAGUGGCUGGCCUCCUCCGCGCCCCCAAACCUGUGGGCGCUGCCCGCUCCCCUUCCGCCAGCACCCCCUCUGUGUUCUCUGGGCCUCAGCAGCCACCGAGGACCUUCAGGAAGGGUGACGUUUCCCUCUUCCCUACUUCUGAGACUCGAGUUGGAGCCAACGGCUGCCCAGCCUCAGUGUCCCCAUCUGUAACCACGGGAGAAAGAUGAUGGCAGGGCUCUCUGCCGUUCCCAUUUUGCCUGUCGUGGGGAAGGAAGGGAUAGCUCUCCCUUGGACUCGGGUCCCAGCCCCCCUUCCCUCUGUCCUCCAGGCCCUUGAUCUUCACUGGUCUCUUUGGGGCUGACUUGUUAUAUUUUCUUUUCCCUCAGAUCAGCAGGAUAAAAUAAAAGACAGUCCUGCCAGCUUGGCAGGGGCCUGACCCUGUCCCCGGCAGAUGUUCCCGGGGACAGCAGGAGCUGGUGACCCCCGCCAGCAGGGGCUGCUGGCAGCUGCCCAGAGGGGACAAGGGCAGGCCUGGGCACAUGUGUCCCUGCCGUGGCUUCUCUUUCCUCAGCUGGCCCCUCCCCUCCACUGUCCCCAGGCACUGCAGGGAUUCUGGCCUCAUUUUCUGAUGGGCCCCCUCCGUGGGGUUCUCUGGGGAGCCCCCCCGGGCCAGAGUUCAGACUUCUAAAAGGGCUACUCGUCCAAUCCCCUGCGCCCCUGGGGUCACUUGCUGCUUCCCUGCGACUCUGGGCCCCUGCCCUGCCUGUUCUUGUCAGUCCUCUCUAUACAUACCCUUUGCCCUGUCCCUCCUCCCGCCCGCGCCCCCCAUCCCAUGGCUCCACAGGUCCCCUCUCCAAAUAUUUAGUACCCUGGUGAGUCGUGGGCCCACAUUCCUCGGUUUGGCUGUUUAUGCAGCUGGUGGGCGCUCCUCGGCCUUGGGAAAGCCAUACUUGAAGUGUGGGGGGUCACCCAAGGUGGGUAGCAUUUCCUUCGAGCGGCCCGGGACCCUCUGGCCUGAGUCCUUCACUUUGUGGGUCUCCUGGUUUCUGCGCCAGCACACCCCUUCUCAGGGACUGCACCCUGUGCAGGCUUGGAUCCCUACUGGGAAGAAGAACCGAGGCAGAGUGGUGGAUGGGAGGGGCUGGCGUUGGCCAGAGGCUGAGGCCUCGAUGCAGGGUGGCCAUUCUCUGGGGUGCAGCGGGGCACAAAGGAAAGGGGUUUUGUGAGCUAGAAAGCGCUGGGCAGCUAUUGGAGAAAGAAGGGAGGGAGAGGGGCCCUACAGGGCCCCCCAGCCUGCCUCUGCAUAGCCCCCUGGGGGGCCGCUCCUCUCUUAAGGUCUCCCCUCUCCCCCACCACUGGCUCGAGUUGAUAGGUGCUGUUCCAUUUGCAUCUCACUGAGACCCCCGGUGCUGCAGAGGUCCUGUAGAGGCUCAGAUGAGAACAGUGACCGCCGCUCAGUGCCCAAGUCCGGGGCGUGUCCCAUACCCCUGCAGCAGCUGUCACACUGGAUUCCUCCCUGGGAUGCACAGGACGGAGGGGUGCAGCAGAGAGAUGCCCUGAGCACAGAGUCCGGAUGUCUGUCAUUCCCAUCUGGGAGGCUGCUGGCCCCGUUCUUCGUGCGAAGGGGCUUGGGCCCUGAGGGUGUGGCAGCACAUGUCUGUGGUUUGCUCAUCAAGACUAAAGAACGUAACAAACUUUUAUGGCUAAGUCUACCAAUUCUGUGACAUUUUGUAAAAGCCCUGCAAGGAAGCAUCUGGAAAACUCCCUUCCUGCUCCUGACAAUUGUUGCAAACAGCACGUUUCAAAAUACUCAGAACGUCCGGGCUGCAAAGCCCAGAGCUGACUCCUGGCCUGGCCUGACCGGCUAGGGGACGGGGUGGGUGCAGGGCCACCCCCGGCCCACCUGCGCUUGCCCCCUUCCCCAGAGCCCUCUGGGUGCCCGCUUGCCCUCUGCUGUGAUCUCAGGGAGAACCUCAGUUUGGGAGGGUGUCCAUCUGUCCUUGAGACCAGCCCAUUUCUGUCCCAGCAGGGAGAGUGGCUGGGAAUGGCCCAAGCAGGGCUCCAAAUCCAGACGUAGUCAGGGGUGGGUCUCAGCCUGUGAGGUCAGGGCUGGCGGGGCCGUUGCAUGACCAUGGGGCUCUAGGAGCGUCCACCCAGCGUGGUGGGGGAGGGGGGGCGGAUAAGUCACUUAGUGUCUGGCUCUGGGUUGGAGCUAGGCAGGGUUUAUGGAUGGGCAUUAAAUCCUUCAAAGGCUGAAUAACGAUAAUAGAAGAGCCAUUCAUGGAUCUUCAGUCACUGGUGUCAUGGAAUCAAGACUGUAAUCAGUUUAGUCCCAGGGGUACAGAGGAUGAUAGUGUAUUACUUAGUAUGUAAGUAUUUAAUGAAAUAUUUAGUAUUUAAGGGCUGCAGUAACUCCCGAAGUCUGAAAGCACUGACCCGCUAGGCCAGGCCCAAGACGCCCGGUGCUCCUCGUCCCCCUCCUCACUCUCCUCCACCCUGCUCCAGCCUGAGUUUCUUGUGAUGCCAGUUCACCCUUCCCUUCAGCUCUGUCACUGUGGGAGGGUCUCCCCACCUGGAGGGGCUCGGGACCUGCCGCUUGGAACUCCCAUGUGCGACUCCAUGGCUGGCCACUUCCCGUGGAAUUCUGAGUAUCCGGAGGGCAGCCGCUGGCUCCUUCCAGCUCCACGUACCCCGUGCUGGCCUUGCCAUUCUCAGAGUGCUCCCCAGGGAGUGUCUGCGAGGGACCCAUGGGAGUCAGACACGCUCACGCAGGCUGGAUUUGGUCUUGUGACUUGGCCCUCUUGUCUUCGUAGGUCAUUCUGCAUGGAGCCGUGGAGGUGUGGUUUCCUGAGCACGAGUUUUCCCGAGGACGCUUCUGAUGCGGGGAGCCCCUGCUUCACUGGAAUGUCUGGUUCUGGUCACUGGGGAUUCAAAGCAGAGGCCAGUGUGACCCCUUCCUGCCCAGAGGAGUUCCCAUUCCAAGAGGAGACAUGAGUGGCGUCCUCUCCAAUCAUGGACACAGAGAAAAUAAAAGCCAUCAAAAGGAAC